Molecule: long non-coding RNA, 295 nt
Organism: Oreochromis aureus
Lineage: Eukaryota; Metazoa; Chordata; Actinopteri; Cichliformes; Cichlidae
Exons: 4
Source: RefSeq, a predicted model, not a curated record
UCAAGCGCUCCUUUUGUGAUCACCACACCUGCUCUCCUUUGGCGCAUAGACAGACGACAGACCUGUUUCAGACGACAAGCACGUGCGAUACGAGGAGUACAGCUAGCUGUGCAGCAUUAACCUGAAUGGAGGAUGACCCAAGCUUUGCAUCUACCAAUGCCAGUGCUGAAUGCACAGUUGCUGAUGGGACAGAUGCCUUUAACCCUGCACACAAGAAAGAGGUUCAAAGUCGUGGCUUGCCUCGCCUCCAGAAACUCAGGAGACAUCAUAGUGUAUGUGAGCAACGCUACGAGAG